GUCCACGCCGUAAACGAUGGAUACUAGCUGUUGGGAGCGAUCUCAGUGGCUAAGCGAAAGUGAUAAGUAUCCCACCUGGGGAGUACGUUCGCAAGAAUGAAACUCAAAGGAAUUGACGGGGGCCCGCACAAGCGGUGGAGCAUGUGGUUUAAUUCGAUGAUACGCGAGGAACCUUACCAAGGCUUAAAUGUAGAUUGACCGGACUGGAAACAGUUUUUUCGCAAGACAAUUUACAAGGUGCUGCAUGGUUGUCGU
Molecule: ribosomal RNA, 255 nt
Filed under: uncultured bacterium
Lineage: Bacteria
Description: partial 16S ribosomal RNA
Rfam family: Bacterial small subunit ribosomal RNA
Source: RNAcentral